ACCACGUGUGCCGCGUGCACCUGCGUCUGCCGCUGCCCUGCGCCUGCCAGGUCUGCCCCAAGAGAUAUCCACGCAUGUCGUUACUUCGAGAUCACAUGAAGAAGAAACACGGAUUAACGUUGAUGACACGCAAGAUGUUCUUCAAAGCACUUCCAACCAUGUCGGAAUGGGAGUUACAGCAGGCAAAGGAAAUUUUGGAGUCUGACACUCCGCUCAUCAACUUGUCUUCAGACAUACAUGGCUUAUAGCCGGAGGAGCUCUUAUAAGGGUUAAGGGUUUAACCCUUUAACCGCCAGCGACGUUUAAAGGGUAGAAGCCACGUCUUGCUGAGAGCCAUGUGAGUUAUUUUCAAGUCCGUCACUCAACUUCCAAAGAUUGUUUGUAUGAAUUGUUGAUGUCUGAUUUGAUGAUGUCUAUAUGAUUGAUUUUUAUUUGUAUCACUAUAGGUUUUGGAACGACACUGAAUUAUUAAUCUACUCUCAUGAAUCGAUUCAAAAUUAUUGAAAAUUUUAUAUUCAGGUCUAGUUUUAAAGCUUACAAACGAUUUUAACUACAGUCUGAGGCAAGCAGGUUUGGGUCUUCCCCCAAACUUAGACUGAAUUAAAAAAAUUAAGCUCGAUUGCAAAUGAAUUAAAUUAUAAUUGCUGAUUUUUUAAAAAUUGAAUUUAAAAUGUACAUAGAUAAAUGAAAUACUGUGUUCUGUGAAUACAUAAAUAUUUGUAAGGGAUAUUUAUAUUGUAAAUAAAUUACAACGGUUUUAAUACGAAAAAGUGUUUUAUUACGCACUUAUUAUUUCAACCAAAUGUUUACGAUAUAUUCAUCUAUAGCAUAAUGCAUACACAAUCGUUAGAAGACACCACGAAUUUAUAAUGCUUCGUUACAUACUAGGAAAAUACAAAAAUAUUAAGCGGUUUCUUGGUAAACACCUACCGGGAUAUCUUAUUUUUAAAAUAUGCGAAAUGUACACGUACAUUGUGAAAUGCACCUUUUAUAAAUACGAUGUCCUUUAUCUUGGUCAUUAGUUAACACUCCAAGACCUUUGUUCUCGACAUUUCUAAAAGAUUGUCCAUUAUUUUAAUACAUCAAGGUAGUCCAUAAAUAUUUUGGGUAACACUGUCGUGUGUAGACUUUUUU
Molecule: long non-coding RNA, 1134 nt
Organism: Ostrinia nubilalis (European corn borer)
Lineage: Eukaryota; Metazoa; Arthropoda; Insecta; Lepidoptera; Crambidae
Exons: 3
Source: RefSeq, a predicted model, not a curated record